AUUUUUGCUGCUUUUAGCUAUGAUUUAGGUAUAGGUUUUAGAGUCCUUUUGUUAUUUCUAGAGUCUUUUCUAGUCUUUUUCAGGUCUUUACAUGUUUGGGAUGCAUUUGGAGAUUAUGGAGCAUUCUGGAGCAAAACAGACAACUUAAGUUGCAGAAGUAGUUCGCAGACCAAAAUCCGGGUAGGUAUCGAACACACCACCCCUGGUGUCGAGCGACACUAAUACCUAACGGCAAUUCGAAGACGCAACUAAUUGAUGUUUUGAAGAUUUCUAAAUUCAGCUCAGAACUUUCUCUAU
This 297-nucleotide small RNA is filed under the name Arabidopsis thaliana (thale cress). Its description in RNAcentral is "ATSL201350". Lineage: Eukaryota; Viridiplantae; Streptophyta; Magnoliopsida; Brassicales; Brassicaceae. The record is from RNAcentral.